GAUGAACGCUGGCGGCGUGCCUAAUACAUGCAAGUCGAGCGAACAGACGAGGAGCUUACUCCUCUGACGUUAGCGGCGGACGGGUGAGUAACACGUGGAUAACCUACCUAUAAGACUGGGAUAACUUCGGGAAACCGGAGCUAAUACCGGAUAACAUGUUGAACCGCAUGGUUCAACAGUGAAAGACGGUCUUGCUGUCACUUAUAGAUGGAUCCGCGUCGCAUUAGCUAGUUGGUAAGGUAACGGCUUACCAAGGCAACGAUGCGUAGCCGACCUGAGAGGGUGAUCGGCCACACUGGAACUGAGACACGGUCCAGACUCCUACGGGAGGCAGCAGUAGGGAAUCUUCCGCAAUGGGCAAAAGCCUGACGGAGCAACGCCGCGUGAGCGAAGAAGGUCUUCGGAUCGUAAAACUCUGUUAUUAGGGAAGAACAAAUGUGUAAGUAACUAUGCACGUCUUGACGGUACCUAAUCAGAAAGCCACGGCUAACUACGUG
Molecule: ribosomal RNA, 497 nt
Filed under: uncultured bacterium
Lineage: Bacteria
Description: partial 16S ribosomal RNA
Rfam family: Bacterial small subunit ribosomal RNA
Source: RNAcentral